CCCCCCCCCCCCUCCUCUCGGCGUCACAUAGUAUGGAGCCGCUGCUGCUGGAGUAACGGAGCCUGCGAGACACCGGAGGCGGAGAAGAGAGAGGAGAGUCAGCGCCUGAGCCGGGACCUCCUGCAGAGUACAAACACCAUGAAGAAGACAACCAUUGAAGAGAACACUAUGAUGCAGAAUAUGAGAUAGAACACCAUAGGACAGAACAUGUGACGAAGCAACAUCACACUGAACGCGAUGAAAGAACGGACACCAGGAACAUGAAGAAUAAAAAAUUGUAAUACACCAGAUCGCAAAGAAGCCAAUCAAAAAGCUAAAUAUAAGUAAACUAGUGCCAAAAUGGCAA
This is a long non-coding RNA of Pseudophryne corroboree (corroboree frog), 346 nucleotides long. RefSeq lists it as uncharacterized. The transcript is spliced from 2 exons. NCBI's taxonomy places the organism in Eukaryota, Metazoa, Chordata, Amphibia, Anura, Myobatrachidae. The record is from RefSeq and is a predicted model, not a curated record.